AGUCCUGCCUCCAAAAGUAGACUGUAAUCAGGAAGGUGGUUUCUUGAGCAUGAGAAUCAUUCCGUGUGCUAUGGAUGGAUGGCUGUUUUCCCAAAUUUGGGGAAAUGUGGGAAAUGCAAUUUCUGAUAUUAAGGGUGUGGCAUUUGUGCUUUCCCCUG
This is a small nuclear RNA of Egretta garzetta (little egret), 158 nucleotides long. RefSeq annotates it as U1 spliceosomal RNA. The transcript has a single exon. NCBI's taxonomy places the organism in Eukaryota, Metazoa, Chordata, Aves, Pelecaniformes, Ardeidae. The record is from RefSeq and is a predicted model, not a curated record.